This 2944-nucleotide ribosomal RNA is filed under the name Burkholderia mallei 2002721280. RNAcentral's name for it is "23S ribosomal RNA". Lineage: Bacteria; Pseudomonadati; Pseudomonadota; Betaproteobacteria; Burkholderiales; Burkholderiaceae. The record is from RNAcentral.
CGGCGGGAUUCGCGAGCGGCGCGUCGAUGACGCCCGCGGCCGCAUGCGGGGCGAUCGGCGUGGCCGCGCGGCAGGCGGUCGAGCAGGCGCGCGAGGGGGCGCGCGCGGCGCGCCCGCAUGCGCCGCGCGCGGCGCGUUGCGAGCUGCAGGCGCAGAGCGUCGCGGCCGCCGACCUGUUCUGUCAGUGGCCGUCGCUCGAGCGCGUCGACGCGCUCACGCUGCGCUUUUUCGCGCCAUCGAUCGAGCACGUCGUGCGGACGCUGAACUGCCUGUCGGCGAUGUCGUUCAUGCUGAGGUGAACGCGCCGGGGCGCGCCCUCGCGCGGCGGCGCGCGGGCGCGUAGGGCGGCGUAGGGCUAUGACGAUGCGCCGCGGCUCGCUUGCAGGCGGCCGCGUGGCGAGCCGGACGGCGCGCGGGCGCGGGCGGGUGCAUCGAUUUCACGCUCGAAAUCGGAUACCCGAAAGCCGAAAGCCGAAAGCCGAAAGCCGAAAGCCGAAAGCCGAACCCGAACCCGAACCCGAGCCCGAGCCCGAGCCCGAGCCUCGAAGUCAUGCCCGAGGCCGUCCCUCAAACAUCGAAGAACACCGUCUCCCGCUCGCCCUGCAUAUGGAUGUCGAAGCGAUAGACCGUCACGCCGUUCGCCUGUGCGUCGCGCGUCGCGAUCAGCGUCGCGCGACGCACGGCGGGCACGGAUGCGAGCGCCGCGUCGGCGGCGUUCGCCGCCGCCUCGUCGUCGAAGUAGAUCCGCGUGAACGCAUGCGCGAGCAUGCCGCGCAUCAUCACCGUCACGUCGAUGUGCGGCGCGUCCGUGUCGGACGUGCGCGCCGGCUUCACCGUGCGCACGACGAAGCGGUUCUGCGCGUGCGUGCCGGUGCCGACGCGCGCGAAGCCGCUGAAGCCGCGCUGCGCCGCUUCGUCGCGCGAGGCCGGAUAGCGGCCGUCGCCGUCGACGUGCGUGAACUCGAGCAACGCGUCGCCCACCGGAUGGCCGUCGCCGUCGAGCACGCGGCCGACGAGCAGGAUCGGCUCGCCCGCGGCGUCGGGCGUCGCGAUCUCCGCCGUGAAGAGGCUCUUCAGAUCGUAGUUGUACUGCUGCGGGCAGAGGCCAUACGCGAAGUACGGGCCGACGGUCUGCGAAGGGGUCUGUUUCAGCGUCGUCAUGUUCAGCGCUCCAUCGGGGUGGCGUCGCGGCCGCGCAGCACGAUGUCGAAUUCGUAGCCGAGCGCGAAGCCUUCUUCGGUCGUGUCGAUCGAGAAGCGCGAGAUCAGCCGCUCGCGCGCGUCCUCGGGCGUGCCCUGGAAGAUCGGGUCGAGCGCGAGGAGCGGAUCGCCCGGGAAAUACAUCUGCGUGACGAGCCGCGAGCCGAAGUAGUCGCCGAACAACGAGAAAUGGAUAUGGUUCGGCCGCCAGGCGUUCGGAUGGUUGCCCCACGGAUACGCGCCCGGCUUGAUCGUGAGGAACCGAUAGCGGCCGUUCGCGUCGGUCAGGCACCGGCCCGCGCCGAGGAAGUUCGGGUCGAGCGGCGCGUCGUGCUGGUCGACCUUGUGCACGUAGCGGCCCGCGGCGUUCGCCUGCCAGACCUCGACGAGCGUGUCGCGCACCGGCUUGCCGCCCUCGUCGAGCACACGGCCCGUGACGACGAUCCGCUCGCCGAGCGGCUCGCCGUUCUUCGCCGCGUUCUUCGUCAGAUCGUGGUCGAGCGCGCCGAGAUCGUCCGCGCCGUAGACGGGCGCGUGCUGGUUACGCAGCGUCUCCUUCAGCGGAAUCAGCGGCUGCGUCGGGCCGCGCUUCACGGAAGAGCGGUACGGCGGAUGAAUGUACGCGGGAUGCGACGGCCAGUCGCGCGGCGCGAGGGUCGAGGAAUCCAUCGGAAACGUCUCCAGAUUGAUGAUUGUCAAGGGGGGUGACAGGACUUUAGCUAAUGCGGAAAGUUAUGCAAAAUGAUGUUUUAUCGCGAAUCGUAUAACUAACCGUUAUGCAUAACCGGAUCGCCGACGGCCGGGUCAAGUUCCGGCACCUGCAGUGCUUUCUCGCCGUUGCGCAGUUCGGCAGCGUGCAGAAGGCCGCGCACAGCCUGUCGAUCACGCAGCCCGCCGUGUCGAAGACGAUCGCCGAGCUCGAAUCGAUCCUCGGCGUGCGGCUGUUCGAGCGCGGCCGGCAGGGCGCGCGGCCCACGCGCGAGGGCCAGCUUUUCAUGCCGCACGCGAGCGCGUGCGUGCUCGCGCUGCGGCAGGGCGUGGGGCUGCUCGCGCGCGAGGGCGGCGGCGCGGCGGCCACUCUCGAGAUCGGCAUGCUGCCGACCGUCGCCGCGUCGCUCGCGCCCGCCGUGCUGAAAACGCUCGCGGCCGAAUGGCCGCGCGCGGUUGUGCGGAUCACGACCGUCGCGAACGCCGAGCUGCUCGAGCGGCUGAAGGCGGGGGCAAUCGAAUGCGCGAUCGGGCGGCUGUCGGAGCCCGAGCGGAUGGUGGGGCUGUCGUUCGAGCAUCUGUACAACGAGCCGCUCGUCGCGGUCGUGCGCGCGGGCCAUCCGCUUGCGGCGAGCGCUUCGCCCGCCGCGCAGCUCGCGCGCUAUCCGGUCGUGCUGCCGCCUUACGGCACGAUUAUCCGGCAAGCGGCCGAGCAAUUGUUGAGCGCGUGCGGCGCGCCGCCGCUCGAAUCGUUCGUCGAGGUGCUGUCGGUGUCGGUCGCGCGCGCGCUCGCGCUCGAGAACGACGCGGUGUGGUUCGUGCCGCGCUACGCGGCCGAAUUCGAUCUCGCGGCCGGCACGCUCACGCGGCUCGCGCUGCCCGUCGACGGCGCGGACGAGCCGGUCGGGCUGAUCCUGCGCACCGACGCGCAGCCGUCACCCGUCGUGCGCGCGCUGAUCGACGCGGUGCGCGCGAUUGCGCGGCGGCGGCUUGCCGGAGCGGGCACGACGAGCGGGCGCGCGCGCGGCGCGCGAGGC